RNAcentral lists this ribosomal RNA (57 nucleotides) under Paradiscogaster oxleyi. RNAcentral's name for it is "partial 5.8S ribosomal RNA". Lineage: Eukaryota; Metazoa; Platyhelminthes; Trematoda; Plagiorchiida; Zoogonidae. The record is from RNAcentral.
AGAGCUACGGCUCACCCGGCCAUGGGUUAGCCUAUGGCCACGUCUGUCCGAGGGUCG